GACAGAGGUGCCGAGCGUUAGGCGGAAUCACUGGGCUUAAAGCGUGUGUAGGCGUGCCGUUAAGUAUCUUGUGAAAUCCCCCGGCUCAACCGGGGAAUGGCUGGAUAUACUGGCGGUCUUGAGCAAUUCAGGGGCAGAUGGAACAGACGGUGGAGCGGUGAAAUGCGUAGAUAUCGUCUGGAACGCCAAAGGUGAAGACAGUCUGCUGGGAAUUUGCUGACGCUGAGACACGAAAGCCAGGGGAGCGAACGGG
Molecule: ribosomal RNA, 253 nt
Filed under: uncultured bacterium
Lineage: Bacteria
Description: partial 16S ribosomal RNA
Rfam family: Bacterial small subunit ribosomal RNA
Source: RNAcentral